CCUACGGGAGGCAGCAGUGGGGAAUUUUGGACAAUGGGGGAAACCCUGAUCCAGCCAUGCCGCGUGAGUGAAGAAGGCCUUCGGGUUGUAAAGCUCUUUCAGACGGAAAGAAACGGUUACGGCUAAUACCCGUGACUAAUGACGGUACCGUCAGAAGAAGCACCGGCUAACUACGUGCCAGCAGCCGCGGUAAUACGUAGGGUGCGAGCGUUAAUCGGAAUUACUGGGCGUAAAGCGUGCGCAGGCGGUUUUGUAAGACAGACGUGAAAUCCCCGGGCUUAACCUGGGAACUGCGUUUGUGACUGCAAGGCUAGAGUACGGCAGAGGGGGGUAGAAUUCCACGUGUAGCAGUGAAAUGCGUAGAUAUGUGGAGGAAUACCGAUGGCGAAGGCAGCCCCCUGGGUCGAUACUGACGCUCAUGCACGAAAGCGUGGGGAGCAAACAGGAUUAGAUACCCUGGUAGUCCACGCCCUAAACGAUGUCAACUAGGUGUUGGGGAAGGAGACUUCUUUAGUACCGCAGCUAACGCGAUAAGUUGACCGCCUGGGGAGUACGGUCGCAAGAUUAAAACUCAAAGGAAUUGACGG
RNAcentral lists this ribosomal RNA (587 nucleotides) under uncultured bacterium. RNAcentral's name for it is "bacterial SSU rRNA". It matches the Rfam family "Bacterial small subunit ribosomal RNA", at positions 338 to 916 of the family's 1533-position model. The record is from RNAcentral.